This 728-nucleotide ribosomal RNA is filed under the name Cryobacterium sp. GL 112-12. RNAcentral describes it as "bacterial SSU rRNA". It matches the Rfam family "Bacterial small subunit ribosomal RNA", at positions 72 to 814 of the family's 1533-position model. Lineage: Bacteria; Bacillati; Actinomycetota; Actinomycetes; Micrococcales; Microbacteriaceae. The record is from RNAcentral.
AGAGAAGCUUGCUUCUUGGAUCAGUGGCGAACGGGUGAGUAACACGUGAGCAAUCUGCCCUUGACUCUGGGAUAAGCGUUGGAAACGACGUCUAAUACCGGAUACGACCCUCGGAGGCAUCUCCUGGGGGUGGAAAGAAUUUUGGUCAAGGAUGAGCUCGCGGCCUAUCAGCUAGUUGGUGAGGUAAUGGCUCACCAAGGCGACGACGGGUAGCCGGCCUGAGAGGGUGACCGGCCACACUGGGACUGAGACACGGCCCAGACUCCUACGGGAGGCAGCAGUGGGGAAUAUUGCACAAUGGGCGAAAGCCUGAUGCAGCAACGCCGCGUGAGGGACGAAGGCCUUCGGGUUGUAAACCUCUUUUAGUAGGGAAGAAGCGAAAGUGACGGUACCUGCAGAAAAAGCACCGGCUAACUACGUGCCAGCAGCCGCGGUAAUACGUAGGGUGCAAGCGUUGUCCGGAAUUAUUGGGCGUAAAGAGCUCGUAGGCGGUUUGUCGCGUCUGCUGUGAAAACCCGAGGCUCAACCUCGGGCCUGCAGUGGGUACGGGCAGACUAGAGUGCGGUAGGGGAGAUUGGAAUUCCUGGUGUAGCGGUGGAAUGCGCAGAUAUCAGGAGGAACACCAAUGGCGAAGGCAGAUCUCUGGGCCGUAACUGACGCUGAGGAGCGAAAGCAUGGGGAGCGAACAGGAUUAGAUACCCUGGUAGUCCAUGCCGUAAACGUUGGGA